CUUCCCGGGCCUCGCGCGUGGGGCCGCAGGAGCCAAUCCGAGGGUGGGAGCGGAGCGGCGCCCUGCGGAAAGCGGAUUCUACCUCGGAGAGGGCGGGGCGGACAAUGGAGAGGUGCGGCUGCAAGAGGACAAUGGCGGGGCUGGGGGUUCGGAACGGGCCGAAUCGGGGAGGGGGUUGGCCUCGGGACCCGGAAGGAGGGAGAGGCGAGAGGGCUGGCUUGCCUGGGACGGGGGCAUGGGGACUGCUGUGCGGGGAUUGCGGGGGUCACGGGGAAGGAGCAGGGGCCAGUGUAGGAAAAGAAGCCGGGGCGAGGCAAGGUGGAGGAUAUCCGGGGUCAGGGGUCCCAGGGACGCUGGAGCGAGCCCUCCUGAGUGGUGGGAUGCCACCGACACCUUGCUUCUCCCUAGCUUCUAGUGCUCGGCGCUCAGAGGUGAGAGUUGGGCUGGGAAGUGUUCAGAUUUCAGGAAACGGUGAAAAAUAAGUUUUUGGAAAUGAGCGAAUUUGUCUUCCACAAGCCUCCCUUCCCUGCGCCCAUCCCCGAGGAGGAGCGUCGUGGUCAAUUUUAAAAAUACGAACUCAAGAGCAGAGUUGUGUGAGGACACACACUUCGAAUCGUGAUGCAUCUGCAGUCCGCUCCCGCCCCUUCCCACCCCGCGCGUUGGGUGCAGGAGCCGUCUUUAUUUUCUAUUUCAUUUUAUUUUGAGACAGGGUCCCGCUCUGUGGCCCAGGCUGGAGUGCAGUGGCACUAUCACGGCUCACUGCAGCCUCGAACUUCCAGGCUAAAGAGAUCCUCCCACCUGUGCCUCCGGAGUAGCUGUGACUACAGGCGUGCACCACCACAUCUGGCUAAUUUUUAAAUUUUUUGUAGAGACAGGGUCUCCCUAUGUUUUCCAGGCUGGUCUCGAUCUCCUGGGUUCCGGCGAUCCUCCUGCCUCGACCUCCCAAAGUGCUGAGAUUAUAGGUGUGAGCCCUGUGCUUGGCCAAGGAGCCGUCUUCAGUGUGUGCACAGGACCAGGCGCAGAGAAGGUGUUGGAGGGAACUGAUGUAUGAAUGAAAGUUGAAUGUGUGCCGCGGGGGAGUGGGGUAGGGACCAUGUGAAAGCCGCUAACUGGCCUGGGGAGCUAAGGGAUGUUGGUGGCACAGUACAGUCUCUUUGUAAACCUCACACCAACCUUAUGUUGUGAUAGGUACCCCAUUUCACAGAUGAGGACUCAGCACAGAGAGGCUAAGUGACGUUCCCGAGACCACACAGCUGGCACAGAGUUCUAUCCACCCAUCAUUAUCAAAUUCUAGGGUAAAGCUGUGUGGCUUUAACAGGUUACUCUCCCUCUCUGAGCCUCUGUUUCCUCAUCUAUAAAAGAAGAAUAAAGGUGCUACUUGGCAGGGAACCAGGUGAGGGACUGGGCAGGCAGCAGGCUUCAGAGGGUGAAGCAUGGGCAUUCCCUGCAAAAGAAAUGGCAUCAGACUAUGGCUGAGAGACUGGUUGGAAGAACAAAGAAGAGGGUGAGCUGGAGGCUGAAGUUCAGGCUGCGGACUUGAGGGUGCCCUGUCUUCUUCAGGCCCAGGGGUUGGGAGUAGGCAAGUUGGGCCCAGGAAGUUGGGACUGGUCUCUGGAGCCUGAGGGCUGGGAGAAGGCAGUUUUGCCUUUACUUGUUGAACUUGACGCUAAGAAACCUUGUGGCCCUUCCCUCUGUCCAGAGCCCUCUCUGGCUCCCGGUUGCCAGCAUGACCAAGCCCUACAUCCCUAGCCUGGCGUUCCAGCCCCUUUGUUAUUGCUCUCUGCCUGCUGACUCCACCAGCCUCAUCUCCCCAUUGCUUACUUCCCUCUCUACUUGCGCCAACUUCUCUCAGCUCCAUCAGCAAGCAGGAUGCAUUCUGUCUCCAUGCAGUUGUCUCCUCCAUGUGUUGCUUUGCUGUUCCCCUUCUCUCUGGAGUUAAUUCUCAUUUCUCUGCUGGGCUGAAGGGCAGAACCUCUAGGCCAAAUGCUCAUCUGUUCUCUUCACUGCUGUAUCCCCAGAGCCUAGCACGGAGCCUGGCACAUAGUAGGUGCCAAGUAAACAAUUGUUGAAUAAAUGACCCAUCUCUCAUGAGAUUUAUCAAGAUUUAUCUCCACCAAGAUUUAUCACCACCUCCGAGAAGCCUUCCUGAACUCCCCCAGGCUGCCUGCCUUUGGUCUGGGCUCCCUCAGCUUGAAGGUUCUGUAAUGAUUGAUUUCCAUGUCUGGUUUCCCUCCCACCCGCCACCAUCCAGCCUGGUACAUGGCCUGCCCUUGUGAGAUCUCGGCACUGGGAGAUGAAUGAGGCUCUCAGAGAGUUCUCUGGCUGCCCCUGCUGCGAGAGCCUCCUUAGCUGGGUCAGAUGAGCAGGAUGUCAGAAUAAAAGGAGAUUUUCAGAACAGACCCUCCAUGACCCCUGAGGCGCUGGGGGUGUGUGAGGGGGAGGCAUGCCCAAGGUCGUCAGGAGGUGACUAGCAAACAGGUCUCAAGACACCCACAUUUGCCCUCUGGCCACUCUUCCAAAGGGGAGGGAGUCUUGUGAGCUGGGGAAUCUGGCCUUUUGGUGGCCAAGGAGUUCCAUGAAGCAUGACAGAGGUGGUCAUGGUGGCUGGUCUGGGCGGUGGUCGAGGGUGAGGCUACACGGAAACAUUAGCCUUUUCUGCCUGAUGCCCUACUUCUCCCAAGAACCUUCUACCUUCCUUACAUUCUUCUCACCGGAGGCAGCAGCUUCAGCUUCGGGCCCCAGGGCUGUUAAACGCAGCUCCUCCCAUUCUUAUGGCAGAUAGACAUUCACUUUCACGUCUACAUUUAUAUUAGUAUUUUGCAGUUUUUCUUAAACAGGGCCACUGAAUUGUAUGAGGCUCCACACCCCUGGAGAUCUACUUCCAACAAAUCCUUCCACUGCGUCCAUAUAUGCAGGUCCUGUGUGAGGCGUUGGCAGGGACGCUCUGCCCUCCUGCAGCUCCCUGUCUGGUGGGGUGAUUGGGCUCCACUGAGCUCAUUGAGCCCUCAAAAUGCUUCAUGCCUUCCUACCCCUCUGCCUCCGUCCCUGCCAGCCUGGAGUCCUUUCCCUGUCCCUCCUGCCUGCAUGUGUCCCGCUUGCCUAGUGGAUUUUCUCCAUCCUUCAAGGCCCUUCUCACAAGCUGAUGCCUCUGAGAACCCUGCCCACUUCUCCCAGUGACAAGCACAGCCUCUUCCUUUGGAGCCUGUGGCACCGAAGGCCCUUUGCCUCUUCUGAUGCCUUUGGAUCUGGGCUGCUGUUGAUGGGUCAAUUUUCCCACCAGAUUAUGAGCUUUUGGAGGGCAAGGGGUGGAGUCUGAUUUCUCGCUGCCCGAGUCCCUCAUUCACCAAUGUUUCCUGAGUUGGACCAAGUCCUAUACCAAACAUUGGGUAUCCAGGGAUGGGACAAUCAGAUGAGAACCUGCCCUCAUCAUCGAGGAGCCCCCAGUCCCAGAGCUGUCUGCAUGGAAAUGUGUACCAAGUGCUUUCUGAACAGAGGAGGCUGCCUGAUUCAGCUGGAGGAGGGCAAGCUGGGUCAAGGGCAGCUUCACAGGGAGGGUGACACUUGGGUAUUUAAGAAGCAGAACUUAUCAAGAUAAGGAGGGAAGCGUCUUCUGGGCAGACGGAACAUUGAGCGCAAAGGCAUGAAAGUGGGAAUGGGCAGGUGGAGGGUGAGAAGUUAGUGUAUUUAGGGCAACAGAAAUGACGGAGGGAGAAGUGGGUUGCACAACAGAGCAGUUAGAGCACAGACUCUGGAGCCACAUGGCCUAGGUUCGAAUCCUGACACUACCAAGUGCUAGCUCUGUUGUUACUCAGUGCCUCAGUUUCCUUAUCUGUAGAGUGGGGAUAAUCCCAGUACUUACUUUGUAGGAUAUUUAUAAGGAUUAAGUGAGUUAAUUUUUGUAAGGCACCUAGGGUAGUGUUGAUGACACACGUAAGUUCCUAGUGAGUGUUAGGUAAAUGAGGGGGAGCCGGAGAGGCCAUGAUAGGUGGGGUUCAUGUUUGGAAUUUAUCUGGAGGACAUUGGAGCAUUAGCAAGGAGGGAGUGUGAAGGGGAGUGGGAAGCUUGGCUUGGACCCAGCCUGCUCUGCCCACUCACGCACAUCCAGAGGGCAUCCCUGGGACCCCCACCUGCCUGCCCCUCCUGCUCUCUGGUCUUCCACUGCCCUCAGUGGCCCUGUGGCCUCAACUAACCUCAGCUGAUGUAUAACAGGGCUGUAGGAGCUGGGGCCACACCUACCCCAGUACACCUGGGGGAAACUUUAUGUUCCAGUUUAUUGCCAAAGGAGGUCAAGUAGGGGUCCCGAGGGGAUCCGGGACACAUGUGCAGGGUGAGCAUCUGAGCUGUAGCCUGGCUUAACGCAUGGUGGAUUUGGUAAGAGUGUGUAUGUGGAAUGGGGAGUGGAGAGGGGCUGGAGGCACUUGCCUGGCCUGGAGAGCUGGUUGGAUGUAGGGCACUGUGGGCUGUGAUGCUGUGGGCUUGGGAGCCAGGUGCACAUCCUGGCCCAGUCACCUUCCCUCUCUGUGCCUGAGAUUCCUGUGGGUAAAAGGGAGAUGAAAAUAGUAGCUCCUUCAGGCCGGUUAGCUCAGUUGGGAAAAAAAAGAAAAAGAAAAUAGUGGCUACUUCAAAGGUGGUAAGGAUGAAAAGAUCAAAUGUUCAGUCAGUGAGGCCUGAGGUACAUGGUGUAUAUCUGGGAGACCAAAAUCAAUUCUGUAGUACCAAGGCCGAAAGGUCAAGAGAGACUGUGGCUGGAGAGCCAGGCAGAGGGACGUGCCACACAAGGUCUUAGUCAAGAGUUGGCCUCUGUGCUGAGGGUGGAGGGGAGCCAUGGGAGGGUUUCACAGGGACAACAAGGUCAUAUGUGCUUCUCAGAGAUCACUGAGGUAGACAGACUGGGGCCUGUGUUAAGAGUCAAGGUGACAAGGAGAGGCGCGGGUCUGAGCCUGGGCCCCGGCUGUGGCCCAAGUGGGUGGGAGGCAUCCCAGAACAUCUACAGGGAAAGAGGCUCGAGCUACUGAUUUGUGUCCACGUAGGGCAAGAGUGAGCUAGAAAUGCCUGGGUGACUCCCAGGGCCCAGCUGGUGGUGCCAUUUCCUGGGGUGGGGAGCCUGGAGAUGCAGGUAUGGGGAAAGGUGAUGAUGUGGCUUGGGGACACAGUGAGUUUGAGGGACCAUUGGGAGAUACAUGGGAUAUUCCUCGGUAGAGCUCUGGGGGGCGGGGCCGGGCUUGAGUCCACCUCUUGGGAAUGGACAGCCUUUGGGAGGAGAGGCUGAGUAGCCCCUGGGAGGGAAGCGUGGCUCACCACGGAUGAAAACCAACAGGGAGGGGAUGGGCAGGGGCAGGGGCCUGAGGAGGAGCCCUCUGAGGGGAAGAAGAGGACAGAGGGGAGCAGACAGUGAGAGGAGAGUGUGCAGGGAGAGGUUAGCCAGGGCCGGGAGGGCCAGGAUGGAGGUGUCCCCUGGGGUGGGCCAUUGGGACUGUGGGUGACUUGGGAAGGGUGAUGUGCAUAGGGUGGGAGGCAGGAGCAGGGGCUCACUUGGUGACAUGGUGGACAGCCCCUUUCAGGGCAGCUGGCAGGGCAACAUGGUUGGAUGGCAGCUGGCGGGGAAGGCAGAGGCAGAGGAGGGUUUUGGUUUUGGUGUUGGUUCCUGGAGGAGGGCUUCAGUUAAAGCUCUGUGAAUAAGGGAGGGGCAGGAAGCUGACCUGGGACUGAGGAGAGGCUGUAUUUGGGGGUUGGGGGUGAGGACCACAGUGGGGACAGGAGAGACAGAGCUGAAGCAGCCCCUUCUCACUUCGUAGAGGGGGCUUUGGGAAAUGUCUGUGUCAAGUUAAUAAAAAAUGAUAUCAUGGCUGGGUGGGGUAGCUGACACAUGUAAUCCCAGCACUUUGGGAGGCCAAGGCGGAUGGAUCACUUGAGGCCAGGGGUUUGAGACCAGCCUGGCCAACAUAGUGAAACCCCAUCUCUACUAAAAAUACAAAAAUUAGCCACGUGUGGUGGUGCAUGCCUGUAGUCCCAGCUACUUGGGAAGCAUGAGGCAUGAGGUGGAGGCUGCAGAGAGCUGAGAUCGUGCCACUUCACUCCACCCUGGGAGACCCUGUCUCAAAAAAAAAAAGAUACCUGACCCCCUUUCUCAUUCUCCUGGAUCACUGUUCAGGCUCCAGUCUUGCAAGGCUGGGGAGCUUCACAUUCCUUUCUGACCCCAGAUCCUGGAAGCUUCCUCUCCCACCAGGUCUUGUCGCCAGCCAGUGGGAAUAACCGAGGUCACCAUAAUGCCAUGCUGACCCUUCCCCAGAGCCUUUGGAUGCUCACUAGAAGAACUAUCUGCUUUGUCCCCACCAUUGUCAGUUGCCGGGGACUGCUUCCCUCCAACCCCCACCAUGAACUUGCCAGAUUGAUUUCUGUGUCGCAGCACAGGGUGUGGCCACACCCAGUAGGCACUCAAUACCUUUAACUGUAGAAAUGCAGAGGGAAUGCCUUCAUUUGGCUGCCUCUGCUGCCCCCUGCUGUCUGAGACUGGUUGGUACAACAUUAAAGGGCUGGUUCUGGAACUUAAUGGUUUCGGGACCCCUUUUCUUGCCUAAAAAUUAUUGAGGACCCCAAAGAACAUCUGUUUAUACGUUUUAUGUCUAUUGGUAUUUACAGUAAUAUAAAUUUAAAUUGAUAUGUUUUUAAAAUAUUCAUAUUAUAUGAUUAAAAUAAUAAAUGUAGUGUAACAACAUAUUUUUAGAAAAAAUAUUUCCCAAAAUAAAAAAUUAAUGAGAAAAGUGGCAUUAUUUUAUAUGUUUACAAAUUUCUUUAAUGUCUUGAUAGAAGACAGCUGGAUUUUCAAACACACUUCUGCAUUUAAUCUGAUGCAAUAUGUUGUUUUAAGUGAAGUUUAUGAAGAAAAUACAGGCUUACGCAAAUACAUAGUUGUAAAAGGGAUAUGUUAACAGCCCUUUCAAAUAAUUGUGGCUAUUCUUUUUUUUAUUUUUUAGAGGCAGGAUCUUGCUCUGUUGGCCAGGCUGGAGUGCAGUGGCAUGAUCAUAGCUCACUGUAACCUCAAACUCUUGGGCUCAAGUGAUCCUUUCACCUCAGCCUCCCAAGUAGCAAGGACUACAGGUACUCACCACCACACUCAGCUCAUUUUUCUUUUUUUUGGUACAGAUGGGGUCUCACUAUGUUGCCCAGGCUGGUCUUUUCCUGGCCUCAAGCAAUCCUCCUGCCUCAGCUUCCCUAAGUGCUGGGAUUACAGGUGUGAACUACUGAGCCUGGCUAUUCUUUUUUGAUACUAGCCAAAACUUGACAAGUGCUGUUUUUUUUUUUUGAAGGUUAGUUGUGAUUAGAAUCUGAAAUCUAGCCGGGCGCAGUGGCUCAUGCCUGUAAUCCCAGCACUUUGGGAGGCUGAGGUGGGUGGAUCACGAGGUCAGGAGUUCGAGACCAGCUUGGCCAAUAUGGUGAAACCCCGUCUCUACUAAAAAUACAAAAAUUAGCUGGGCAUGGUGGCGCCUGCCUGUAGUCCCAGCUGCUCGGGAGGCUGAGGCAGGAGAAUCUCUUGAACCCGGGAGGCGGAGGUUGCAGUGAGCCAAGAUUCUGCCACUGCACUCAGUCUCAAAAAAAAAAAAAAAAAUCUGAAAUCCUAUCAAUGAAAUUUUUAUGUUCAAUUACAUUAAAAUACAUUAGACUCUUUCGCAUUUUGGAUAUAUCUUUUGCCCAAGCAUGAUGUUAUAACUUAAUGCACUGGCUGUUUGGAAAAAAAUGGUUCACCAAGUUAUGCAGGUCUUUCAAAUAUUGACAAAUAUUAGUAUACUAUGUUUUAAAAAUCACAUUAGUUAAUAUCAACACCGAUCUCAUCAGAGAAGUCUUUAAGUAUUGGGAAGCUGCCAAGGUCACAGUGGUGAACACAAGGUUUCUAAAAUUCCAAUUUUCACUUGAGCUUGGGUUUCAUCAUUAGCAAUAAAUACUGUCAGUUUGCUGUGAAAUGACAGAUUCAUUUUAUUCAUUCUUGAGAAAAUGUCUGCCAGAGACUCAAGUCUGCAUAAGCAUAAUUUAUCUGUCAGUAUUUCUUUCAGGUCAAAAUGGUGUUCCAUGAAAAAAAAAAAGUGACUAGUUAAGCUCACAGUUCAAACAAGUGCAAAUGCUUUUCUGGAGACAACCAUUGUGCUGCAUCGGAUAUGGCAGAAGUGCUCUAUGUUGCUUCCCAGAAUAUUAAAAAGAUGUAUACUCAAGGACCAGUAUAUUGUGAAUGGGAUCAUUUUUAUUGCUGCAUCAAAGACUUUCCUGGUCGAUGUUGGCAGUGUUUUCCUAUGAGGGCGUGGCAGUGAAAAAUGCGAUGACUUCCUGUACAUCGCAUUGGAGGCCGCCACGUUGGCUUUUGCACCGUCAGGGAAAUGUCAACCCAGCAAAAAAGGCAAAUGAUGCCUUAGUCUCAUUAUGAAAAGAGUUUUGACCUUGCAGACUUCCCCAGCAGGGUCUGUACUUGGCAUUCAUGUUUUAAUUUAACGUUCUCAUACCAGAAGCAGGGCUCAGUCACCCUUGACACAGUUUCCAAUACUAUGCCCCACCCGAAUGGCUCCAGCUGGUGGCUGGAGAUAAAACUUAGAGGCUUCUCUCCCACCUAGCAGGCUGGCUCCUGGCCUUCCCGCUCUCUCCUUUAAACGGACCAUUCAGACAUGAGCUUGUCAACUGGAAGUGACCACCUCUCAGUCACAGUGUGACCAACUGGAACUAGUGCCUGCUUGCUUUAAACCUACCAAUUAAAGCUCCCUGAGGGAAAGCUGGACACCCUCGACCCAAUAUAGGCAGUGGCCCAUGGGUCUUGUCUCUUCCUGCCUGCACUCCCUGACGUGUGUGUGUGUGUGUGUGUGUGUGUGUGUCCGUGUGUGAGAGAGAGACAGAGACACCUCUGUUGUGCCCUCCAGGGUGUGUAAGUACUAAACAUUUUUACACUUUCACACUGUGGUUUUAUCCCCUGAAGGUGAGGCCACUGAAGGACCCAUGCAGGUGGGUCCCCUCCCUACUGGCGCUCUUUUUUUUUGAGCCCCUCCACUGUUGGGAACAGCUACCAGUUAAGUUGAUAGAGUUUCCUUCAAAACAUAGCCCUGACACCCUCUCAGAACAGAGGGGCCUCCUUAUCUCCAGGAGCAGCAGGGGAGGGGGAAGGAAGAGGAGAGUUGAGAGAAGACACCUGCCCCUCUCAUCAUGUGCUUAAGAGGCACCCAUGGGCACUGUUCAGGGCCGAAAAUUAGAAAUACCCCAACCAGCCAGUACCAUGGGGGUGGUGAUAGGAACCCUGGCUUCCUAGAAUAACUCAGUUCCAGGAACCUGUGCUGAGGGCCCAGUCCAUGCCAGACCUGAGGCUGGCACUAGAGAUGCAAAAUGCAAUCAGACCCUGCCCCCUCCCCUUGAGGAGUGUUCAGUUUAGUGGGGGAGAGAAGGGUGCCACAUCAGUAAUAAAAACAGACCCCUUUAUUUUUGUUAACUUUACCAAAUGAAAUUUUAUAAAUUCAAAGUGCCAUCUACUGCUUCCUCCCGGGUUCUCUUCUUUCCCCCAGCACCCCUGCCCCCCAACACCAGGUUCUCUUCUGUAACACUCAACGCGAGGGUCCGAGGCUUCAUUCUUGAAGUCAGUGAGACCAAGAACCCUCCAAUUCCGGACACAGCGUCACCCUUAUUAUACAACAGGCUGUUUUCCUAUGCUGUCCAAAACUGCAUCGAUUCCCCCUAAAGCCGCUCCUUCAGUAUUCUCCAUCUCUGUGACAGAUCCCAACAUCCUAGACAUCACCCCCUAUAGCCCGUCAGUCACAGAGAUGCAGGGAAGGGAAUUCUAAAGCUACUGGAGGCCAGGCAUGGUGGCUCACGCCUAUAAGCCCAGCACUUUGGGAGGCCGAGGCGGGCGGAUCACUUGAGGUCAAGAGUUCAAGACCAGUCUGACCAACAUGGUGAAACCCCGUCUCUACUAAAAAUACAAAAAUUAGCUGGGCCUGGUGGCGCGCGCCUGUAAUUCCAGCCACUCGGGAGGCUGAGGGAUGAGAAUCACUUGAACCCAGGAGGUGGAAGUUGAGGUGAGCUGAGAUUGCACCACUGCACUCCAGCCUGUGUGAUGGAGUGACAGAAAGGGAGGGAGGGAGGGAGGGAGGAAGGAAGGAAGGAGGGGAGGAAGAGAACAAAAGAAAAAAAGAGAAAGCAAGCUAGCUACUGGAGUGUCCAGGCUCCCAACUCUGGAGUUUCUAUCUCCUGAACAUCUAAACAUUUUUCCAUCCACUCCUUGACCCUGUGGCUCCCAUAAUCACCUCCAAGGCCAGUGCCCAUCAUGUCAGCCUCUUCGGUGCUCUCCCUGCCUCCUCUCUUGCCCUCUCCUAUCCACUUCCCACUAUUUCAGAUCUGAGCACAGCAUUCUCUUGAUUAAAACUCCUCAGUGGCUCCCCUCUCUUGGCUCUCAGCAGCACAUGCUGGGCCCUCUACACCCAAGUCAACCUGGAAGGCACAGCUCCCGUGUCUCCUCCUCCAGGAAGCCUCCCUCUGACCAUGAGGUGGGCCUACCAUCUGGGAAAGGUGGAAGGGAAGGAGGGAUUAAGUAGAAAGAGCCUCAGACUGCACUGCAGCUCCGAGAAAGCCUCAGCCAGCCCAGUGGGGAGGCCAGAGCACAAAUUAGCUGUUAGAGGCUGGGCGUGGUGGCUCACACCUGUAGUCCCAGCUACUUGGGAGGCUGAGGCAGAAGGAUCGCUUGAGCCUGGGAGGCGGAGGUUGCAGUGAGCUGAAAUUGUGCCAUUGUGCUCCAGCCUGGGCCACAGAGUGAUACUCUGGCUCAAAAACAAACAAACAAAACAAAAACAAACAAACAAACAAAAAACAGAGGAGACAUCUGCUGGGCAGAAACGGCCAGACCUCCUUCUCCCACUGAGCUGAGUCAUUGGCUAGGGCUGCCCAAGGAGAAAGUGGCCUUGUCAGGAACACAGCAGUAGAUCCCAGGGUGUUGCUGCUGGGAUCUGUUGCUAACGACACUCCUGCUCUACACUCUCUUAAAGGAAGAUCUGAGUGGCAAACCUCCAUGGCUUGAUGGAUGUUAAAGUUGGAAGGAAUUUAAGAGAUGCUCUAGGCCAGCCGCUGUCACAUUUUACAGAUGAGAAAACUGAGGUUGGCCAGAGGAAGUGACUUGCCCAAAGCCACCCAGCAUGUAAACCAAUAUGCAAACCCAGGUUCUGACACCCAAGUCUGCGCUCUUCUGAAUCAUUGCUGACUCAGAGUCACAGUGGGGCUAGAGGGCAGUGGGAGGAGAGUGGCAAGGUAUGACUUCAGGACGCGGCUCAGGUGUCACUUCCUCACAGAAGCCCUGCCUGGACCCAAGCUCUUCUCUGGGCUCCCCGAGGCCUCUAUCCACUCAUUUACCAGUCAGUUCUGUGAAUGUCAGCUUGUGUGUCUGCUUCCAUGAGGCCAUGUCCCCAGCACCCAGCAUGGGACCCGGAACAUCGUGCUACAUGUGAAGGCCAUCUUCAGUGAAGGCCUGGACUCUCUCCAGGUGCCCUGCUAGUGCCUUCCUACUCUGGAGUCCGCUGCCUGUGGUGGGCUUUGGGCCCUGCCUGAUGCCAGCCAAACGUCCUCCCGUCCCUGGAUCCUCUCUUGCCUCCAGCUCCUGACUCCUAAGGACUCUUUAUGCCCCAGAGCCUCCUUUGCUGAGCUGCCUGAGCUGAGGGCCCAGAACUACUGGCCUUCAGAUUUGGGGUGGCACAUGGUAAGUCCUGGGGCAUUGUGAUGGGCUGGCCAGGCCCAUCCAGGGAUAUCCCUGCCUCUUACUUCCCAGUCAGUCCCAGCCCCAUUCUUCCCUCCCCACACCCCACCAAGGUACACAGGAUGCCCUGUGCUAGCUUCAGAGCUAGACCCUCACCUUUCACAGGCUGGGGAAAGGUCAGCAAAUGUGAAAGGGAGAAAGAGUCACAUUUUCUCUUUUCUUUUCUUUUUUUUUUUUUUUUUGAGACAGUCUCACUCUGUUGCCCAGGCUGGAGUGCAGUGGUGCCAUUUCGGCUCACUGCAAGCUCCACCCCCUGGGUUUAAGUGAUUCUCCUGCCUCAGCCUCCCAAGUAGCUGGGAUUACAGGCGCACACCACCAUGCCUGGCUAAUUUUUGUAUUUUUAGUAGAGACGGGGUUUCACCAUUUUGGCCAGGGUAGUCUCGAACUCCUGACCUCAGGUGAUCCCAAAGUGCUGGGAUUACAGGCGUGAGCCACCGUGCCCAGCCCACAUUUUCUGAUCUCUUUUUUUUUUUUUUUUUUGAGAUAGAAUCUCACUCUGUCGCCCAGACUGGAGUGCAAUGGCAUGAUCUCAGCUCACUGCAACCUCCAUCUCUCAGGUUCAAGCAAGUCUCAUACCUCAGCCUCUCAAGUAGCUGGGAUUACAGGGAUGUGCCACCACGCCCGGCUAAUUUUUGUAUUUUUAGUAGAGACGGGUUUUGCCAUAUUGCCCAGGCUGGUCUCGAACUCCUGGCAUCAAGUGAUCCGCUCACCUCAGCCUCCCACUAUGCUAGGCACAUGUGGCUCACACUUGGGCUAGUUCCCCAGUAUCCAUGCCCCCUUCUUCCAUAGUAAUAGCACUCCUGGUUUUUACCUGGACUUAUGGUCUUUGGGAACAAAGAGCACAUUUCACAGCUCUCUGUGGCCCCAGGACUAAAUGGAAUGUAAGCAGCAUUGCUGUGUAUGUCUUCUGGGAAAUGCCCUUAGAUAGACAGACAUGCACUUUUUUUAUUCUUCCAUCUGCUGCCUGGGCUCCAGCUGCCAUCUUGGUCAUUGGAGGCAAGGGCCACACCCUUGGCAUAGAGGAGUCAUGAGUUGGCAGGAGCCUAAAAUGCCAGAGGAUUUAGCAAAGCAGGGUCCCCACACCACUCCUGGAUCACCUAUUCCCAGAUCCUUACCUGAGUGAGAAACAAACCCUCUUGUUCAAGGCACUGUUAUUGUAGGGUUAUGUUAUUCACAGCUGCUCCUAAUCCUAGGGUGACACGUCACUUUUCAUGAGUUAUGUCAUUUUCAUCCUCACAACAGUCCUGCCAAGUGGAUGUUACCUCAUUUUUAGAGAGAGAAAAGGAGGCUCAAUGAUUUUAUUUUCUAUUUUAAAUAAAAAUUGACUUUCUUUAGUCUGUAUUCUGCUGAAGCCUCAGUGAUUUUAAGCAAGUGGUCCAAGGCCACCCAGCCAGUAUGAUGCCGAAGUGGGCUGAAGCCCUGGUUGCUCUGAUUCCUGGGCCCUGCUCUCUCUGAUUCCUGGGCCCUGCUCUCUCUGAUUCCUGGGCCCUGCUCUCUCUGAUUCCUGGGCCCUGCUCUCUCUGAUUCCUGGGCCCUGCUCUCUCUGAUUCCUGGGCCCUGCUCUCUCUGAUUCCUGGGCCCUGCUCUCUCUCUCUGAUUCCUGGGCCCUGCUCUCUCUGAUUGAUUCCUGGGCCCUGCUCUCUCUCUCUGAUUCCUGGGCCCUGCUCUCUCUGAUUGAUUCCUGGGCCCUGCUCUGUGAGCCCUUGGGGUCACACCCAGGCUGACCUCCCUGUGUGUACAGACCCAGGUUGAUGAACACCCUGUGGUCUUCCCAGGCUUCAUCUGGGUCCAGAAGCAUCUACUGAGCAGGUGGAACUGUUGCAGGGUCAGAGAUGUUGCAGGGUGACCCCAUUCUGUCCCUGUUUUAGCAGUGAAAGUCGCACAUCCCUCAUUCCUGGGCAAAUCAAGACAGUCACCCUAGAGCUGUGGUCCAGCCAGGUCCUGUUGCUGCCCCUUUGGGCACCCAGAACCUGAUCCCUCACAACCUGCUGUUUUCCAGGCAUUUGUGCACCACCUCCCAAUCCUUGGGAUCCUCCAGGCUGUGGUUAGAGGCUGGGACAGGGGUUAAGGUACUAUGAAAAUGAGGCUCAGGCUGGGCGCAGUGGCUCACGCCUGUAAUCCCAGCAACUUGGGAAACCAAAGCAGGGGGAUGGCUUAAGGCCAGCAGUUUGGGACCAGCCUGAGCAACAUAACAAGAAUUGUCUUUACAAAAAAAAAAAAAGCUACCCAGGCAUGGUGGCAGGCACCAGUAGCCCCGGCUACUGAGGAGGCUGAGGCAGGAAGACAGGAAGAUCACUUGACCCUGGGAGUUUGAGGCUGCAGCGAGCUAUGAUCGUGCCACUGCACUCCAGCCUCGGUUGCAGAGUGAGACCUCGUCUCUUAAAAAAAAAAUUAGGCUCAUCAAUGCCAGCAAGAAGUAACAGCCCAAAUCAAGUAAGACCUUGAUUUGUCUUUACAAUGGCCUCGAAAGACAGCAGCCCCCACGUUCAUUUUGACUCUCCAUUGUCCCCUGACUCUCUGUAUAUCCUGUGACCUCAUGAUAACAGAGUCCCUGCCUGCUGGUGAAAUGGGAAAGCUUCCCUUGAGCCCCUUGCAGGGCGUGCGAUGCGGGUAUGACUUGCUUCUUCAGUGCCUCGCUUCUUUAACCUCUAGAGCAGGUUGUGGGGCUCCGGGCCCACAGCAGCGUCUAGGGGUGGAUGAUUACAGCUCCUGAAGCCCCAGCAGGCAUGUGCUACUGUGUGCUUUUAGUUUUGCCGUCUAUAGGCAGCUUGUGUUAACCAGCUCAAUUAGACCCUCUACCUUGUUGCGAGGACAGAGGACUUUCUGUAUCCCGGGUUCUUGCCUUGGUGUUCUGAAGAAUCGGAUCACACCUGAGCUCAGAGAAUGAGUGCAAGGUUUUAUGGAGUGGAGGUAGCUCUCAGCAGAUGGGGGAGCCAGAAGGGACGGAGUGGGAAGGUUUUCCCCUGGAGUUGACCGCUCAGUGGCCUGGGCUCUUUUCCGACUGCCCCAGCCAAACUCCACCAGGUUCCCCCGGUUGAUGGCCUGCCGGCCUGCUGGCUCUGUGGGUGUGCUCCUUCUGCCGGCAUGCUCCAACGUCCUCUUGACACCCAGCUGCUCGUGUCUUCUUCUGCUGAUGUGUUCUCCUCAACAUCCAGCCACUUGUGUCUCUGCCCUUCACCCAUGUGACCUUGGCCCGGUGAUUUCACCUUUUGAGACUUAGUCUUCUCAUCUAUAAAAUGGGGAUAAUAAUACCUGCCUCACAAGGCUAUAGCAAGGAUUAAUGAGAUCAUACACCGUGAAGUUUGGCUCUGGACCUGGAAUACAGUUAACACUUGAUAAAGAUUGUCAUUGUUGUCACUGUAUCACCACUCCUCUGUGCCAGGCAGCUCUCAUGCUGGAUACCAGGGACCCUGCGAUACACCAGAGCCAUUCAGGAACUCCUUAAGGAACUCAGAAUCUGAUGAGGAGAUGUGCCACAAAGACAAUUUAAACAAAUAAUAGAUGAUGGCUCACACCUGUAAUCCCAGCACUUUGGGAGGCCGAGGUCGGAAGCUCUCCUGAGGCCAGGGGGUUCAAGACCAG
This 15346-nucleotide long non-coding RNA is filed under the name Homo sapiens (human). Its description in RNAcentral is "non-protein coding lnc-SERPINH1-3:4". Lineage: Eukaryota; Metazoa; Chordata; Mammalia; Primates; Hominidae. The record is from RNAcentral.